Molecule: long non-coding RNA, 683 nt
Organism: Ailuropoda melanoleuca (giant panda)
Lineage: Eukaryota; Metazoa; Chordata; Mammalia; Carnivora; Ursidae
Exons: 4
Source: RefSeq, a predicted model, not a curated record
CGAGGGGCCGUGGCGCGUGCGGCGCUGCGGACGGAGCCUGGCCUUGGACUCCAGGGAGACUUUCGGUGAAGGAUAUCCAGGUCUAGAGCUGAGAAGAGGACAAGGGCCCAGGACUGAGCUCUUAGCAACUCGGGCAUUUAAAGGCCAGGAGGAGAAAGUUGAGCCUGCAGAAGGAUAGAGAAUGAGCAGUCACAAGGGCUGGAGGAAACAGGAGAGCUCUGUUCUUCAGAAGCCACAGGAAGACUUCAGAAGCAGGAGAGCUCAGUGGCUUCCGGGCUGUUCUGGUAACCUGUUUGCUCAGAGAGAGAGACAGAGACAGAUGCUGCGUGACUUUAUGGUCUAGUCUCCGAAGACUCCCGGUGUCUCUUCUGCUACGCUGCCUUCCUCAGAGCUGCUAUGUGAAAGAAACUUGAUGGGGGUUUUCCAAAAUUUUCUCUCUCUACCAUCCUGUAAUGAAGGAUAAUUGGAAGAAAGGCAAGCAGGGACAAGGGGCCCCCACCCUAAGAAGAAACCAUCCUUAAAAGGAUUUUACACCAGCCUGGAAGGAGCCCUCCACCCUUUCCCAUGUGAGAUGACAAAAACCUGGUUGGGUGACAGGCUUAUGGCAACCCUCUGGGGUCCACCCUCUUCCAGAGCUUUGUACUAUCCCUUCGCUGUUGCUCAAUAAACUUUGCUUUGCUGCC